CUACGGGAGGCAGCAGUGGGGAAUAUUGCACAAUGGGCGGAAGCCUGAUGCAGCAACGCCGCGUGAGUGAAGAAGGUUUUCGGAUUGUAAAGCUCUGUCUUUGGGGACGAUAAUGACGGUACCCAAGGAGGAAGCCACGGCUAACUACGUGCCAGCAGCCGCGGUAAUAC
This 170-nucleotide ribosomal RNA is filed under the name uncultured Clostridium sp. RNAcentral's name for it is "partial 16S ribosomal RNA". It matches the Rfam family "Bacterial small subunit ribosomal RNA", at positions 339 to 526 of the family's 1533-position model. Lineage: Bacteria; Bacillati; Bacillota; Clostridia; Eubacteriales; Clostridiaceae. The record is from RNAcentral.